RNAcentral lists this ribosomal RNA (137 nucleotides) under uncultured eukaryote. RNAcentral describes it as "partial 18S ribosomal RNA". It matches the Rfam family "Eukaryotic small subunit ribosomal RNA", at positions 1299 to 1457 of the family's 1831-position model. The record is from RNAcentral.
UGGUGGAGCGAUUUGUCUGGUUAAUUCCGAUAACGAACGAGACUCUGGCCUAUUAAAUAGUUCGCCGAUUCCGAUCUGUCGGCGUUAACUUCUUAGAGGGACAAGUGGCUUUUAGCCACGCGAGAUUGAGCAAUAAC